AAGGAAUCAGUGUUCAAAUCAAAAGGAUUUAUUGUUGGGGUUAGUGCUGCUGGUGUGAUAGUUAUUGUGUUAGGAAUUGUGAUGUAUGAGGUUUUGCUCUGGAGGAAGAGGAGAGAAGAGAAGAUGAAAGAAAAAAUUGAAGACUGGGAGUCGGAGUAUUGGCCUCAUCGCGUUGAUUAUAGACAAAUACAUGCAGCAACUAAGGGAUUUGCAGAAGAAAAUGUGAUUGGAUUUGGAGGAAAUGGAAAGGUCUAUAAGGGUACAUUGGAAGGAGGAGUAGAAGUUGCUGUUAAGAGAAUCUCUCAUCAAAGUGAACGGGGAAUCAGAGAAUUCCUAUCUGAAGUUUCAAGCCUAGGAAGACUAAAGCAUAGGAACUUGGUAGGAAUAAGAGGUUGGUGUAAACAAGACAGAGAAAGCUUGAUUUUAUUGUAUGACUAUAUGGAGAAUGGGAGCUUGGACAAGAGGAUUUUUACUUCUAAGAAUUCUACUUUGAGUUGGGAAGAAAGGAUCAAGAUUUUGAAAGAUGCAGCUAAUGGGAUCUUGUAUUUGCACGAAGGAUGGGAAGCUAAAGUCUUGCACAGAGACAUUAAGGCGAGCAAUCUACUACUCGACAAAGAAAUGAAUGCAAGGUUAGGAGAUUUUGGUUUAGCCCGGAUGCACCAUCAUGGACAGUUGGCUAGAACAACACAAGUGGUUGGGACCGUAGGGUACAUGGCACCCGAAGUGGUUCGAACUGGACGAGCCUCAAUGCAGACCGAUGUGUUUAGUUUCGGAGUCUUGCUUCUAGAAGUGGUCUGUGGUAGAAGAUCUAUUGAGGAAGGCAAGCCUGGAUUAGUUGAAUUUGUUUGGAGGCUAAUGGAGAGAGGGGAAGUAAUUAGUGCUUUGGAUGAUAGAUUGAACGCAAAGGGAG
This 910-nucleotide unclassified non-coding RNA is filed under the name Hevea brasiliensis (rubber tree). Lineage: Eukaryota; Viridiplantae; Streptophyta; Magnoliopsida; Malpighiales; Euphorbiaceae. The record is from RNAcentral.